This is an RNA transcript of Salvia splendens (bonfire salvia), 2223 nucleotides long. It is a transcript of the gene named RNA pseudouridine synthase 6, chloroplastic-like, with no coding region annotated. The record is from RefSeq and is a predicted model, not a curated record. The transcript is spliced from 11 exons. NCBI's taxonomy places the organism in Eukaryota, Viridiplantae, Streptophyta, Magnoliopsida, Lamiales, Lamiaceae.
AAUUUAGCAAUUCAGCUGAGAGCUUAACGAUCACAGUAAACAAUGGAAUAUGUAUGAUAGGAAAGAAAGAAUGCUUAUCCUGCCAUCACCUACGAACACCGCUCGAUUACUUCACUUUUAAAACUGCCGCAUUAAAUCGCAGUUUAAUCCGUCGAAUAAGCCACCCUGACAGUCGCCGCAAUGGCGUACUUCUCAUCAAUCCUUGGCGGCACCAUCCUUUCUCCUACCAGCCUCUCUCGGACGCACCCUUCUUUCAUACAUAUUCAUAAACACUACAGCUGCAAUGUAUUCAAGAGGAACUUGAGCUGCAGAUCAACCGCGCCUCCUGAUACUAGUACGAAAUUUUCAUUUCCUACUUGCAAUAAUAGCUAUCCUCCUUACGAGCGCCUUCUUCCCUGUCCGUCACAGAAUGGACCUCCAAGGGUAGAACACUUGGUUGUUUUAGAAGGAAGCCCUGUUCUUGAGUACAUUAGUAAAGCUCUGGAUAUUCCACCCCUAUUUGUUUCAGACCUGAUUCACUUUGGUGCUGUAUUUUACGCUCUUGUAUGCCCGGUCCCCCCUCGAACUGCUACACAUGAGCAAAUAAAAGCUUUCAAGAAAUUUACAGAUCCAUCACUUCUAAGAAAUAGAUCAUCUAUCAAAGGGAAGACCAUACGAGAAGCGCAAAAAACUUUUCGCAUAACUUGCACGGAUGAGUUUGUCGAAUCUGGAACUUACUUACGGGUUUAUGUACAUCCAAGACGUUUUCCAAGAUGCUACGAGAUUGACUGGAGAUCUCGAAUUAUUGCUGUGAAUGAAAGCUAUGUGGUCUUGGAUAAACCAGCCGGUACAUCAGUUGGAGGAACCUCAAACAAUAUUGAAGAAACUUGUGCAACAUUUACUACUCGUGCCUUAGGACUGGACGAUACGUUGAAGACUACCCACCAGAUUGAUAAUUGCACCGAGGGCUGUAUAGUGUUAGCAAGAACAAAGGAAUAUUGCUCAGUUUUUCAUGGAAAAAUUCGGGAUAAAAAGGUUAAGAAGCUCUAUCUAGCACUUGCUGCUGCUCCUGUACCAGUUGGAAUACUUACACACUAUAUGCGCCCAGUCAAUAUUGCACCGCGACUUGUAUCUGAAGAUUUCAUCAGCGAUUGGCCUUUGUGUCAACUUGAGGUCUUAGAGUGCAAGAAGGUUCCUUGGCCAAAUGAUAUAAUUGAAGAACAAAACAAAAUCGAAGUUUGUGGAUGGCCAAAUAGAGAUUUUGCAUAUGAGUGCAAAAUCAACCUCUUGACAGGUCGGACGCACCAGAUUCGAGCACAAUUGGCUGCUUGUGGUGCCCCUCUAGUGGGUGACACAAUGUACAUGCCGGCUGUGAUUUCUGAAGCUGAAUACCGCGGGCUUAACCCUUUUGGCCCGAACAAGAAAGAGUACUCCAGUGACGAUGCCAAAGCCACAGCUGUUGAAGAAUGGAUUGCACACCACGGAAAGGAACCUACUGUUGCCAUUGCUCUUCAAGCAUGCCACAUUUCGUGGGACGACGGGGAGCAUACUUACGAGGCUGGAUCACCAUGGUGGAGUAUAACUUGAGUACUGAGUUAGAAGGAGCAGGCUAAGUCCAUUGACAUUCCAUACGAUAGCGCCGAUGUUGAUCAAUCCUUUGUCCGGAUCCGCCCUAUUGCUACACAAAUUAUGGCCACAGCAGAAUGUUCAGUGCUCGUCGAUGGUAGCCUUCAGCAUCAAUGGAAUGUCACGUGGUCAGAUGGCAACACCAACCCACAUCCAUGAACAGGUUUUUGGUUGUAUUUGCGCGUGUCCCAUUCUCUUCUCCAAUACGGUUUAUAUUCAAGAUUCAAUCUAUACUACUUUGUCAAUGGAGGUCAAGCUACUUAAGGAGCCACAAGAGAGAGAUGAUAAUUUUCUGAGCAUUCCAGUGAUACAUUGAGCACCGCUGCUGACUGAUUUAGGGGAAAAUGCAGAUGUGAGAGCUGAUCAGAGAGCAACAGCAACUCGUGUCUUCUUACAACUGAACAUUAUAUUGAACUUGUGUCUUCUUACCAAUAGUUUGUGGCAGCAUGAACAUGAUUGUUGGUUUGAGGUGAGAAUGUAAAUAAGCGAGUAAAUUUGUUUCUCUCAGAUUUAUCUCAGUAGGAUUUAGUUGCAUUUCAUGGAAAGGUAACACAUUAGAUUAAACUUGUUCUCUCAUCAUCGAGAUGAACUUUCUAGUAUGAAAAUUAUAGCUUUCAU